This 22-nucleotide non-coding RNA is filed under the name Arabidopsis thaliana (thale cress). Lineage: Eukaryota; Viridiplantae; Streptophyta; Magnoliopsida; Brassicales; Brassicaceae. The record is from RNAcentral.
CAAAGACUCCCAAGUUAACCUA